RNAcentral lists this unclassified non-coding RNA (200 nucleotides) under soil metagenome. Its description in RNAcentral is "partial contains internal transcribed spacer 2 and large subunit ribosomal RNA". The record is from RNAcentral.
GUAGCCGUCAUUUCAACCCUCAAGCUCAGCUUGGUAUUGGGUGCCAUCUGGCAUGGUGCACCUUAAAAUCAGUGGCGGUGCCAUCUGGCUUCAAGCAUAGUAAAACUCUUGCUUUGGAGAUUUGGAUAUGUACUUGCCAUCAACCACUAAUUUAACAAAAGGUUGACCUCGGAUCAGGUAGGGAUACCCGCUGAACUUAA